RNAcentral lists this ribosomal RNA (285 nucleotides) under uncultured bacterium. RNAcentral's name for it is "partial 16S ribosomal RNA". It matches the Rfam family "Bacterial small subunit ribosomal RNA", at positions 334 to 615 of the family's 1533-position model. The record is from RNAcentral.
CACGGCCUACGGGGGGCAGCAGUGAGGAAUAUUGGUCAAUGGCCGCAGGGCUGAACCAGCCAAGUCGCGUGAGGGAUGACGGUCCUAUGGAUUGUAAACCUCUUUUGUCAGGGAGCAAAGGGCGCCACGUGUGGCGUUUUGCGAGUACCUGAAGAAAAAGCAUCGGCUAACUCCGUGCCAGCAGCCGCGGUAAUACGGAGGAUGCGAGCGUUAUCCGGAUUUAUUGGGUUUAAAGGGUGCGCAGGCGGCGAGUUAAGUCAGCGGUAAAAUUUCGUGGCUCAACCC